UACGAAGGGUGCAAGCGUUACUCGGAAUUACUGGGCGUAAAGCGUGCGUAGGUGGUUCGUUAAGUCUGUCGUGAAAGCCCCGGGCUCAACCUGGGAAUGGCGAUGGAUACUGGCGGGCUAGAGUGCGGUAGAGGAGAGUGGAAUUCCCGGUGUAGCAGUGAAAUGCGUAGAGAUCGGGAGGAACAUCAGUUGCGGAAGGCGGCUCUCUGGACCAGCACUGACACUGAGGCACGGAAAGCGUGGGGAGCAAACAGG
RNAcentral lists this ribosomal RNA (255 nucleotides) under uncultured bacterium. Its description in RNAcentral is "partial 16S ribosomal RNA". It matches the Rfam family "Bacterial small subunit ribosomal RNA", at positions 524 to 776 of the family's 1533-position model. The record is from RNAcentral.